AAAACGACUCUCGGCAACGGAUAUCUAGGCUCUCGCAUCGAUGAAGAACGUAGCGAAAUGCGAUACUUGGUGUGAAUUGCAGAAUCCCGCGAAUCAUCGAGUUUUUGAACGCAAGUUGCGCCCGAAGCCAUUCGGCCGAGGGCACUUCUGCCUGGGUGUGACGC
RNAcentral lists this ribosomal RNA (164 nucleotides) under Quercus pyrenaica. Its description in RNAcentral is "5.8S ribosomal RNA". It matches the Rfam family "5.8S ribosomal RNA". From Rfam's summary of the family: 5.8S ribosomal RNA (5.8S rRNA) is a component of the large subunit of the eukaryotic ribosome. Lineage: Eukaryota; Viridiplantae; Streptophyta; Magnoliopsida; Fagales; Fagaceae. The record is from RNAcentral.